GCAGUAGCCGCGGUAACACAGAGGGUGCGAGCGUUAAUCGGAUUUACUGGGCGUAAAGCGUGCGUAGGCGGCUUCUUAAGUCGGAUGUGAAAUCCCUGAGCUUAACUUAGGAAUUGCAUUCGAUACUGGGAAGCUAGAGUAUGGGAGAGGAUGGUAGAAUUCCAGGUGUAGCGGUGAAAUGCGUAGAGAUCUGGAGGAAUACCGAUGGCGAAGGCAGCCAUCUGGCCUAAUACUGACGCUGAGGUACGAAAGCAUGGGGAGCAAACAGGAUUAGAUACCCCCAUAGUCCCUGUCUCUUAUAA
This 302-nucleotide ribosomal RNA is filed under the name uncultured bacterium. RNAcentral's name for it is "partial 16S ribosomal RNA". It matches the Rfam family "Bacterial small subunit ribosomal RNA", at positions 508 to 809 of the family's 1533-position model. The record is from RNAcentral.